AGGAAUCAUUUGUUAUGUCCAACAGAAAUCUAUUUCUUAUAGCUUAAAGUUAUUAUUUCUUUUUAUUUCUUAAGGUGCAACUCUGAACAAUUCUGCCCUGCUUCUACAUUACAACUAUUGAGAUAAACGAAGACAUACAAUUUGGCUCCCAACAUCUUCUCUAUAAUAAAUAUAUGCAGUGUUUUCAACCAACCUUGAAACCAUCAUUCUAGACUCCUUAUCAAUAGAAGAUAAUAUUUAACUUAGGGUUGAACUGUAGGGUUCAUGGUGCUCACUGAGCUUGGUUGUUUGCCUGCAGAUGUUUCAUUAACCAAUUAGGUAAUGUCUUCAGUGCUAGUGAGUGCAAAGUUUGCCCCUUGUUUAUAAACUUAUCCUGACAAUGUUGAUGGGGAUGUGAUUUUCUUUCUGGUAGUGCCUUGAUUAAAAUAUUGUUUUCUUCUUGAUUGUUUGUUUAGUGUUAAUCCCUGCUUAUCUGGGUUUUUGUUACUGGAGAGGAUGUAUUUUUCUUUUUGUUUCCUUUUUUUUAAAAAAAACUUUUUAAUAGUCUUUUUUGAAUGAUCUGUAAAUUUAGUUUAUUUCUAUGUGUUUGUUGAUGGCUAAUUUGUCUGAGUGCCAAGCUUGCAGGAAUUCCCUAGCAUUUUUGGAUUUAGCUUGUUCUAGGAUAUUCACAGUUUCCCAGCUGAAACUAUGGUUGUGUCUGUUCAUGUGUUUUGGAAUUUACAGGCAUAUUUCUAUUUAUUAUGACUUGUCUGCUACAGGUUUAGUCCUUGAUUUUUUGUUUGUUUAAACACUCCUUGGGCAAACUCAGUGAAGCUGAGAAGUAAGAAAGGAGUCAUUUUUGAGGGGAUACCUUGGGUAAAGAAUCAGACUAUAUAAACUAAGGACAAAGGAGAGUAUCAACAGCAGUGAGAUCUUCUAGCUGUGUUGUGGCCGAUCAGCGGCCUGUGUGGAUUGUAGCUGAUUCUGACAGCGAAGAGGCUGGUGUGGUGUUGCGUCAGCAGCCUGUGCAGCUGGCAUUUGAGUGAGACAAUGAGGAGGCUGGAGAAGAUGUGGUGCCAGAGGCAGGGAUUCAGCCAGGGCCUUCAGAAGCUCCAGAAGCUCCUCUAAGUGAAAAGGGCGAAGAGGAGGAGCCUCUUCUCAAUGCACGGGCAUGCAGAGCGGCCAAAAGACAGGAGUGGCUCCUCAGGAGGAGAUCUCCUCGAGAGUAAGGCUUGGGGCUAAUUGGCCACUCUCUUAGCCUAUUUAAGGAGGAAUACCGACUGAAGCAAUUUGUAGGGAACAUCUUUAGUUCACUCUACUUCGCGUCUGGAUUCUCUGCAAAUUGCUUCUGGGCUUUCUACAACCUUCGUAAGAUUGGGAUUACUUUAUCUUUGGUUUCUUGUAGGCUGUUAAGAAAGUUUAUUAACAGCCUUUGUUUUGAAAAAGACUGAGUUAUUUUAGUAAAUUAAGUUUUGUAUAAACUUUGUGUGUGCUGUGUUCUUUGGGAUCCGUAGCUGGGGCAGAACAAGCUGGGGAAAGUCACCAACUGGAAGAGAACUUCAGCCAGGAAAAAGAACUGGUUGUUCCUCAGCAACAAAUGCCAGAAAUCCAAUCCUAAUAUGAAAUACUUCUUGGGAAGCCUCAGCUUGCCAAUCUCCUCUUGAAAUAGUGUGCUUGGCAUCAAUCCAAGAAGAGAGGCUGAAAAAAGUAACAGACCCGGCAUGUUUCCAUCAAGCUCAUCUUCCUUACAGGUAAUCCUCAUUUUACAACUACAAUUGGGAUCAGAAUUUCCAUUGUAAAUCAGUACGGUUGUAAAGCAAGUCAUCAUGUGACUAGGCCUGAUUUUACAGCCAUUUUUACUACAGCCAUUAAGUGAAUCACCACAUUCAUCACAUGACUGUGGAGGUGGUAUGAUGGUUGUAAGUGUAAGGAUAGGCCAUAAAUCAGUUUCCCCAGACCAUCAUAAGUUUGAACUGUUGCUGAACAAAUAUUUGUAAGCGGGGGACUACCUGUAUUUUCUAUGAUAAGGCAUCAUUUGCAAAGAGUCAUCUUAUGUUGGUCUGAAGAUACUUUUUUCUGUUGUUCCACCUCUCUCUUCACCCUUCGAUCUUUUCUACUUCCCUACGCCUUAGUAUGGCAUUCUUUCAAAAGUUUUCCUUAUUGUUUUAAUGUAAAAUGUUGAUCAUAUUCUUGAUCAGAAAGCUCAAACUGCCCAAGGAGCUGCUGAUCCAGUUCUACAGAGGAAUUAUUGAGUCUGUCAUCUGCACCUCUAUAACUUUCUGGUUUGGCUCUGCAACCCAACAAGACAGACACAGACUUUAGAGGAUAAUUAGAACUGCAGAAAAAAACAAUUGCUACCAACCUGCCUUUCAUUGAGGACCUGUAUACUGCACGAGUCAAAAAGAGGGCUGUGAAAAUAUUUACAGGCCCCUCACAUCCUGGACAUAAACUGUUUCAACUCCUACCCUCAAAAAGAUGCUAUAGAGCACUGCACACCACAACAACUAGACACAAGGAUGGUUUUUUCCUGAACGUCCUCACUCUGCUAAACAAAUAAUUGCCUCAACACUGUUAAACUAGUUAUUAAGUCUGCAUUACUAUAAAUCUUCUCAUCGUUCCCAUCACCCAUUUCCUCCUACUUAUGACUGUAUGACUGUAACCUUGUUGCUGGUAUCCUUAGGAUUUAUAUUGACUGUUUCCUAAUAUGAUUUGAUUGCUUAGUUGUUCCCUAUGACUAUCAUUAAGCGAUGUACCUUAUGAUUCUUGAUGAAUGUAUCUUUUCUUUUAUGUACACUGAGAGAAUAUGCACCAAAGACAAAUUCCUUGUGUGUCCAAUCACACUUGGCCAAUAAAGAAUUCUAUAUUUGUUAUGCAUUUUAUGUUUUAUUAAUAUUUUCUGUAUUUUAUUUUGCUAUUAUCAGGCCUGAACACGUUUUUUCAGACAAAAAACAAUUUGCAGGAAUAGCAGUAAUGUCUGCCAAUUGAUUAGGUUAGUUACCAAUUUCCAAGUAUAUGUCAUUGGGUAUGAAUCCAAUAACACAGGAACCUUAGCACCUCAUAAUCUAUUGACCACAAGGUGUCAGACUAGAUAAAAUAGAGAGUUAAGGAUUUCUUUGUGUCCCCUCUUAAUCUAUACUGUAAUGAUGCCUGUGUAGAAGAGCAAGAGAGCUGGCGGGUGGAGUUACAGUUUAGAAUCCUUAUGUUGCCACAAGAGAUCCAAGUUAAUUCUGACAGUUGAUUAGAUUCUUGUGUAUAGGCUUGAAUAAAUCAUUUAUGCUGCAACCUU
Long non-coding RNA from Pantherophis guttatus, 3265 nucleotides. RefSeq lists it as uncharacterized. The record is from RefSeq and is a predicted model, not a curated record. NCBI's taxonomy places the organism in Eukaryota, Metazoa, Chordata, Lepidosauria, Squamata, Colubridae.